Molecule: non-coding RNA, 207 nt
Organism: Pelobates cultripes (western spadefoot toad)
Lineage: Eukaryota; Metazoa; Chordata; Amphibia; Anura; Pelobatidae
Source: the annotation of a GenBank genome assembly
AUCGAUUAUAGCCUCCAUCCAAAUUGAGUAUGCUGGUUUACAAUACCACACUAUAAUUUUUUUUGCCAUAUUACAUUUGCAGUGGUGCACUGUAUAUUUUUCUGUUUUUUAGUUUAUUGAGCCUGUAUAACCCAUACUUUAUAUGGGUGAGUGUGUAUACAUUAAGAACUUAACACUGUACCAAACCCACAAGUUGUGCCAUUGUCA